UCCGUGGUGACGCGGAAUCUGAAGGAAGUCGGCGGCAAAUCUCCGGUCUGAGGAACACGAACUUCAUAUGAGGCCAGGUAUCAUUGGAUGAGAUUGCUAAACAAAUCAAAGUCCUUACUGCCAAAGGUGAUACAGAGUAAAUGAAGCAGAUAGGUGGAGAGGAAGAAUAUGUG
Bacillus cereus is the source of this 173-nucleotide non-coding RNA. The record is from Rfam. NCBI's taxonomy places the organism in Bacteria, Bacillati, Bacillota, Bacilli, Caryophanales, Bacillaceae.